UCCGUAGGGUGCGAGCGUUAAUCGGAAUUACUGGGCGUAAAGCGUGCGCAGGCGGUUUUGUAAGCCAGAUGUGAAAUCCCCGGGCUUAACCUGGGAAUGGCAUUUGGGACUGCAAGGCUGGAGUUUGGCAGAGGAGACUGGAAUUCCCGGUGUAGCAGUGAAAUGCGUAGAUAUCGGGAGGAAUACCGAUGGCGAAGGCAGGUCUCUGGGCUAUAACUGACGCUCAUGCACGAAAGCGUGGGGAGCAAACAGG
This 253-nucleotide ribosomal RNA is filed under the name uncultured bacterium. RNAcentral's name for it is "partial 16S ribosomal RNA". It matches the Rfam family "Bacterial small subunit ribosomal RNA", at positions 524 to 776 of the family's 1533-position model. The record is from RNAcentral.